UUGUCUCAAAGAUUAAGCCAUGCAUGUCUCAGUACAAGCCAAAUUAAGGUGAAACCGCGAAAGGCUCAUUAAAUCAGUUAUGGUUCCUUAGAUCGUACCCACAUUUACUUGGAUAACUGUGGUAAUUCUAGAGCUAAUACAUGCAAACAGAGCCCCGACCGGAGACGGAAGGGGUGCUUAUAUUAGAUCAAAACCAAUCGGUGGCGGGCUCGCUCGUCAUCGUACAACUUGGUGACUCUGAAUAUCUUUUCGCUGAUCGCACGGUCUCGCACCGGCGACGCAUCUUUCAAAUGUCUGCCUUAUCAACUGUCGAUGGUAGGUUCUGCGCCUACCAUGGUUGUAACGGGUAACGGGGAAUCAGGGUUCGAUUCCGGAGAGGGAGCCUGAGAAACGGCUACCACAUCCAAGGAAGGCAGCAGGCGCGCAAAUUACCCACUCCCGGCACGGGGAGGUAGUGACGAAAAAUAACGAUACGGGACUCAUCCGAGGCCCCGUAAUCGGAUUGAGUACACUUUAAAUCCUUUAACAAGGAUCAAUUGGAGGGCAAGUCUGGUGCCAGCAGCCGCGGUAAUUCCAGCUCCAAUAGCGUAUAUUAAAGUUGUUGCGGUUAAAAAGCUCGUAGUCGAACCUGUGUCUCGCGCCGCCGGUUCAUCGCUUGCGGUGUUCAACUGGCGUGUCCGCGGGACGUCCUGCCGGUGGACUUAGCCCGUCAAAAGGCGGUCCAACUUGAAAUCCCACCGCGGUGCUCUUCACUGAGUGUCGAGGUGGGCCGGCACGUUUACUUUGAACAAAUUAGAGUGCUUAACGCAGGCUAAAAUUUCGCCUGAAUACUGUGUGCAUGGAAUAAUGGAAUAGGACCUCGUUUCUAUUUUGUUGGUUUUCGGAACUCCGAGGUAAUGAUUAAUAGGAACAGAUGGGGGCAUUCGUAUUGCGACGUUAGAGGUGAAAUUCUUGGAUCGUCGCAAGACGGACAGAAGCGAAAGCAUUUGCCAAAAAUGUUUUCACUGAUCAAGAACGAAAGUCAGAGGUUCGAAGGCGAUCAGAUACCGCCCUAGUUCUGACCAUAAACGAUGCCAGCUAGCGAUCCGCCGAAGUUCCUCCGAUGACUCGGCGGGCAGCUUCCGGGAAACCAAAGCUUUUGGGUUCCGGGGGAAGUAUGGUUGCAAAGCUGAAACUUAAAGGAAUUGACGGAAGGGCACCACCAGAAGUGGAGCCUGCGGCUUAAUUUGACUCAACACGGGGAACCUCACCAGGCCCGGACACCGGAAGGAUUGACAGAUUGAGAGCUCUUUCUUGAUUCGGUGGGUGGUGGUGCAUGGUCGUUCUUAGUUGGUGGAGUGAUUUGUCUGCUUAAUUCCGAUAAC
This 1364-nucleotide ribosomal RNA is filed under the name Derodontus esotericus. RNAcentral describes it as "SSU rRNA". It matches the Rfam family "Eukaryotic small subunit ribosomal RNA", at positions 32 to 1332 of the family's 1831-position model. Lineage: Eukaryota; Metazoa; Arthropoda; Insecta; Coleoptera; Derodontidae. The record is from RNAcentral.